CGUAGUUGACCUCUGUCUGGGGAUGAUUUUGGCUUCUGUCAGGUCAUUUUCAGGCAUCCGCUUCCAGACCUAUCCGGCAUUAACUUGUCGAUAGGAGGAGCAGGCAUUUUACUUUGAAAAAAUUAGAGUGUUUAAGGCAGGCAAUUGCCCGCAUAUAUUAGCAUGGAAUAAUAGAAUAGGACACUUUUCCAUUUCGUUGGUUAUUGGAAUCGUGUAAUGAUUAAUAGGGACAGUUGUGGGCAUUUGUAUUUAAUUGUCAGAGGUGAAAUUCUUGGAUUUAUUAAAGACAAACUAACGCGAAAGCUUUUGCCAAGGAUGUUUUCAUUAAUCAAGAACGAAAGUAAGGGGAUCAAAGACGAUCAGAUACCGUCAUAGUCUUUACUAUAAACUAUUCCGACUCAAUGUUCGACUGGCUUAUAUAACCAGUUGAGCGUUGUAUGAGAAAUCAAAGUCUUUAGGUUCUGGGGGGAGUAUGGUUGCAAAGCUGAAACUUAAAGGAAUUGACGGAAGAGCACAACCAGGAGUGGAUUCUGCGGCUUAAUUUGACUCAACACGGGGAAACUUACCAGGUUAAAACAAUAGUGGGAUUGACAGUUUGAGAGCGCUUUCUUGAUUCGUUGGGUGGUGGUGCAUGGCCGUUCUUAGUUGGUGGAGUGAUUUGUCUGCUUAAUUGCGUUAACGAACGAGACCUUAACCUGCUUACUAGACUAUUGAUGUAUAAUCGGUAGCUCUUCUUAGAGGGACUUUGGUUGUUUUAACUCCAAGGAAGUUUGAGGCAAUAACAGGUCUGUGAUGCCCUUAGAUAUCCUGGGCCGCACGCGUCAUACAAUGACCAGUUCAGAAAGCUUUUCCUGAUCCGGAAGAUACGGUAAUCUUGACAGUACUGGUCGUGUUA
This 895-nucleotide ribosomal RNA is filed under the name uncultured eukaryote. RNAcentral describes it as "SSU rRNA". It matches the Rfam family "Eukaryotic small subunit ribosomal RNA", at positions 629 to 1572 of the family's 1831-position model. The record is from RNAcentral.